GGGACUUCCGGUUUCCUGUGCGCUGCUCUGCUCUUCCGGGCAUGGCGCUACUCUGCUGUCCGGUGGUGGAUGUAGGCGUGAGGACGCUUGUCUCACGAAGCUCGUAGUAGGUAUGGGGUCCUCGCCUCAUCCUCGAGAAGCGAUCGCGCGGUAGAUGUAAAAUGUGACCAAUGCGUAAAGGAGAAGGGCACGGCGCUGCGAAAGUUUAGGGCCGAGGAGAUGGCUCCCCGGGCCAAGGCGCUGGCCGCGGAGCCUCAACAUCGUGGGUUCGAUCCUGGGACCCACUUGGAGAGAUCCGACUUCCUCAACACGUCCCCUGACUUCACUACGAUCUCAGUCGUGUACGCGCCACCCACAUUCAAAACCGCAAAGGACAGACUUAGAAUACAAGCCGAAUACUGAUGGAUGAAAAGUGGGAAUUGUUCAGGGAGUAACGUCCUUUGUGAAGAAAGAGCCAGUGAAGAGGGAUAGUGGGAAGAAAAAAAAAUUCAAAUAUGGGGAAGGGGUAUGGAAACGUGAAGACUGGAGAAUUGGCGCAACCUGGUUGCAUCUUCCCGUUACUCCCACGUGUUUUUCUUUUGAUGGUUUGUUUUCCGACCUGUGUGUUAAUGAUGUAUGUUGUUUCCUUUUAAAAAUCUAAGCGCUCUCAGGGCAGAACUAUAUUGUUUAAUUAUGAUUACAGUAAUUUGACAACAGGUAUAGUGACUCAGGCCUGUAAUCUCAGUCACUUCCUUUUAAGGCAAGAGGAUCACAAGAUUGAGCCCAGCCUGAGUAACUUAGUGUGGUCAUCUCAAAAUACAAGAGAGCUGGGGAUACAGCACAGCCAGUGGUCGAGGGCUUGCUCCUAGGACAUGCUAGGCUUUUCCUCAGUAUUGGAAGAAAGUCACUUUGCUGUACAGAGAAAAUUGAAGGGUGUAAAAAGCGGCAGGGGAGAGCCCGCUGCUGGAAGAGCCCAGGCAAGAGAGGAUAGAGUGUUUUAUUCUGGUUCUUUGGAGAGGGUCUUACUAAGCAGCCCUGAACUCGUGCUUCACUCUCUUUGGUGAUGGGACUGCAGUGCAGGGCAUCUCAUCCCUACCACCAUAGUGGAGUUUCAGAGAUAGCUUACAACCUGAUGCAAGUCGCUGUGCGUACAUCUAUUUCCUUAGUAUUUUCUCUUGCUGCUUCUUCUUUUAUUAUUUAUUUAUUUUGCAAUUUAGAAUUUGACUUUUGUGCUAGGUCUUGAUCAUUGAUAUUUUGCCCAAUAAAUACUUGUUAAAUGAAUGAAGUUGGAUGAUGUCAGUGAAGAUAUGGGUCAAUUUUAUUUUAUUUUUUAAUAUGUGUGUACAUCUAUUUAUAUGGCUACACCUAGGCAUGCAUGCAGUCACAGGACUAUUUGCAGUAGUCAAAUUUUGUCUUUAAACUGUGUGGGUUCUGGGGAUUGACUUCAGGGCAUCAGGCUUGGUGGCAAGCACCCUUUACCUGCUGAGCCAUUUCGCCAGCCCAAGAUGUAGAUGCAUUUUCGGGUCUUGCUUGGUGUGCUGUUGCAUGACUUUGAUCACAGCACUAGAUCUCUGUCAGUUUGAAGUCAGCCAGAUCUAUGUAUUAAAUUCUAGUCCAGCCAGAGCUACUUUUUAUUUUUUCCUUAGAUGGGGUUUCCCUGUGUGGUCCUGGCUGUCCUCAAACUUAGAGAUCUUUCUACCUCUCUGCCUCCCAAGUGCUGGGGUUAAUGUGACCUUUGUUUCUGGAAAAAAAAAUAGGGGACUUGGAUGAACGGGUAUCUGAAUGAGAAGAUGGACUAGUGUUUGAGUUUAAUUUUUUAAAAAGGAAUGGGACAUGCCCCUUCAGCACCCUAAAUCCUCACCAAAAUAAAGCUUACUGUUACCAAAAAAAAAAAAAAAAAAAAA
RNAcentral lists this long non-coding RNA (1883 nucleotides) under Mus musculus (house mouse). RNAcentral describes it as "RIKEN cDNA 1500015A07 gene (1500015A07Rik)". Lineage: Eukaryota; Metazoa; Chordata; Mammalia; Rodentia; Muridae. The record is from RNAcentral.